Molecule: long non-coding RNA, 2821 nt
Organism: Macadamia integrifolia
Lineage: Eukaryota; Viridiplantae; Streptophyta; Magnoliopsida; Proteales; Proteaceae
Exons: 2
Source: RefSeq, a predicted model, not a curated record
UAACAGAUAAAUAAUAAAUACAUAAAGACUCCAUUUGUUUCGGCUUAGAAAAUUUUACGGUAAAAUCAGAUUUUCCUUUUGUUUGUUUUUCAAUUUGAAAAUUUUUCAUUUGGUCAAAUUUUACCAAAGAGCUACCCUUCUCCGAAAAAUGGGCUGGAAAUUUAACCCUAAUAUUUGUUGGUAAAACCAACUUGGAAAAUCUAUCGUGAACACAGUCGCUUCCUCAUCUCCUUCGUCUCUCUUUCCCACCGAUCAUCUGUAGCCUCAUCCUUCUCUCCUCCCUCUGUCGCCGUUCAUCUCAUAACCGAUCUCAUUCAUCUCAAAGCUGGAGCAGCCGGCGGGUUGAAGGGCGAUAUCUGGAGCUAUUCGGACUGAAGCCUCUGUCUUCUUUCCAUUUCCUCCCGGAUCUUAACGACUAAAGUACGUAUGUUGACUAUUACAGCUCGGUUUUCAGGUAUUAUUAAAAAAACAGACUUAUUAAUAUGUUGUUCUUGUUUCGUAACAGAUUUUGUAGAGUAUUUGAAGUAAUUGAAGUCUCUGGAUUCAUAGACACAUUAGAAUCAAUUUCAAACUCUGAACACAAGUUUAACUUUAUCUUUAGCGACAUACCCAAACUGAAAAUCACACAUAUAACUAUUAACAUACAUAAUUCAAUCAUGAGUAGAACAGAUUGGAGAGUGGUAUGAGCAGAAGAGUUGUGGCAGCGAGCAACAUUGAGCUCUCCUUGAUUUCCAACUUUUCUCCGCUACUCCGUGAAUACAAAAGGCCCAUGUUAGUUUUCAGUGGCAAUGCAACCCCUGGAGAAGCUGAAAGCCAUUAAACAAAAGCAUUAGAAUUAAGUAAAUUUCUACCAUAAGAUAUCAACUAAUUAAUUAGUGGCAUUUUGAUAUUGGAUCAUGUUGUACAUAUGAAAAUAUUUGAAGAUAAAAAGAUCAGAUUUGAUCAUAUUCCUACAGUUGAAGAAUUGGAGGGGGUCCCUGGUGAAACUUGAGACUCAGGUGCUCUGGGACUUGGGGGCUCAACAAACCCUUCAACAUGGGCGACAAGAAUUCAAAUCAUCAAAAUGUGGAACCCUUCAAAUGAUAUAUCUUAGGCUUUUUAUAUUUGUAGUAAACAAUUAAUGGAAAUUGGUGUGAGAUGGUACUUAGGCAGAUGGAGUAGUUGAGUUGAAGGUUGCAGAGAGGUGGCAGUUCCAGUGCAAGUGUCUUGUUGAUGGGGAAGGCACUCAAGGCAGUGUCAUUGAGCAAGAGACAGAGGCAAUUGGGUUGUUCAAGGUAGAGAUCAUGGAGGUUAUCACAGCAAAUUUGAAGAGGGGAAGAAUCAUUCCUUUUCCUUUUGGUGAACUUGUUGCUAUUGACAGUUUAAUUAUGAUAUCAUAUUGUUCAAUCAGGUUCUACCUUACAACUGUCUAUGAUUUCAAAUUAUGAAUCUGAUCUCAUAUCAUUUGAUUCCUAUUAUUACUAGAAUUGCUGGUUUUCUUACUUUUAUUCUCUGUUUUCUAGUUUCCAUCAGUAGAUGAUGUUUUGUAUAAUACCUCAGAUUAUUGUUUAGUUCUACUCUAUUUUCUAUUAACUUUAGCUACUGAAUCGAGUGAGUUUAUUUACUGACCAUAAAUCACUCAGUUACUAACAUCAGUUCUUGUUUUUAGAAGUCCUAUUUCAAGUAGGAUUCUUCUGAAACUAGAGAUCAGACCCUUGGAUCAAGUUCAACUUUUAAAAUUUUGUUCCUAUAAUUGAUUCAAAUCUGAGAUCCAGAUUACUGUUUAUCACUUAUUCUUAAUUCUUGUCAAUAAUGAUUCAUUGGGCUUCUGGUUUCCAACUGAGUUUCUGAACCUAAUCCUUUCUAUAAAUCUUAAUUAUAACAACAAAAGCAAUAUGAACUCAUUAUCUAUCAAUUUUUGCUCUGUUCAUGGGUUGUUUUUCUUCUUGAUUCUCUAUUUGUUUAUUGAUUCUAGUUUUCCAAGGGCCCAAUGGGUCCCACACACCACAUUCCCACUUUAUUUCACAGUACUCUCAAGUGUCUGGGGAGGAUCCAUGGAAUUCAUUAUACAUCUCCUUGUUUUCCAUGGAAUUUUGUAUGCUACUGUUGGUGUGUUCUCGUAAUGGAUAAUUGAUGAAUGACAUUGAGAUUUUUUCUAUUUGAUUUUUAAAACUUUUGGAAUCUAUGUACUCAAGACAUUUAUUUCCAUCUGUAUGAAAUUUUUAGUUAGUUAAUGUUUGAUUUGAUAAAUUAUUGGAUGGAGUUCUUUUCUCUUCUUUUGUCUUGAUUGAUGGGUUUUUUUUUUUUUUUAACUGACAAGAUCUUACUAUCUUUGUAGUGGCAUAUUUGUUUGCAAACAAAGCGAUCAUGUUAUUAUUACUCACCAUGUUUUGUGACUUGUAAUUUUGACAAACUAGGAUGGAUAAUGAUCAAGUGAGGGAGGUUUCUAAGAGUAAAGGAAAAAAACCUGCAAGGACGAAAGGUCAAUAGUUACGUUGGACAGAGACAAUGGACAAUGCUUUCAUUGAUCUCCUUGUUGAAGAAGCAGCGAAAGGGAAUAAAUGUGACAAGACUUUCACAAGCCCAUCAGUUACCUUUGUUUCUCGGGCAUUAACCACACAGUUUGGUAGAGAUAUCACAGCAGAAAAUAUGAGAAACAAAACAUGUGCUCAAUAUGUCCCUCUAUCAUCAACAUGGUCAUUAUCAUUAAUUAACAUUUAUUGGAUCUGCCAUGGAUGUAUAUUUCUUCUAUUCAUUACCUUCUUUUUGCGUGCACGCUACUAGCUUCAGUACUGCCUAUUAGAUAGAAAAUCUCAGUGUUUCUGUUAUAUUUUGUUCUGAA